UGUUCUCACCUCUAGAUGUCAAAAGCUGAAGAGCUCUAACUUCAUGUGCCAAAGCAGAAGCUGUUUCUCCUGCCUCUGCCCUGCUCUCCGCAGCUGUCCUUGCCCAGGGUGCUGCACACAGGUGUUGCUGUGGGAGAGCCUGGCUCAUGGAAGGCAGAGAGGUCCUGCUCACUCACCUUGUGUCAGCUGGGGUGCCUGGAGAAGCUCGUCUCUUCCCUGCAUCCUGAGACCAGUCCCGUUCUGUUUCUCCCUUCCCGAGCGCCCGGGGCGUCUGCGGCGCUGCGCUCUGACGGCGGCGGGGAAGCGGAUCCGUGCAGCGAUUAAAUCACUCGCACAAGGGCACGCCGUGAAUCGCUGGUGCUGCCAAGAAUAGCACCCCCGGUCUCUUGGCUCUCUGAAGCCCACCCUCAACACUCCAGCCUCCUUUCCUUGGGUUAUGAACAUUUCUGCAGCAAGAUCUGAAGUAGCCAGAUUCCAGCUUAGAUCAAAGUCCCUCGGAUUCACUUGUGAUUUCUGGGCCAUAAAGCAGAAGGUAAUUGAAAAAUGGGAGCUGAAGACAGUGCAGUGUAUGUACUUGUGAGAGCUGGAUGCCCUUCCUCUUCCUUGCGUCUUUACUCAGUUGUUAUGUAUUUGGAUUGAAAAUGGAGGAUUUUUGUCUGGCUGACAGCUGGUGGCCACCGCUGGCCCAAGGGCUCCUGGCCCUGGACUUGUCUUGCAGUCCUUGCAGCAGCUGGCUUUGGAUGACCAGCUUGCUUUACUUAGAAGGCUGAUACAUCCAUGACAUGAUAAACUGAGCAGCUGAAUGCUUUGGAGCCUUCAAAGCAUAACAGAGGGUUGAGUUUUGUUGCAUUUUGAGCCUGUGGAAGGCGAAAGUGGCACUCUGGCAUUCUUUAUUCAUGCGGUCCCAACAUGGAGUAUGGCGAGUUGCACAGUGUGAUGGGAGCAGAGAACGUUUGUGCUGAAAACAGAGGCUGAAAUGUUUCCUGUCAUGGAAAAGAUGAACAAGCCAGUUCCACAUCAGCUUUCUUUUCUGAGACUGCUGGAUCAUACAUCUAUGUUCUUGCUGCUGGCGCCUGUGGCACAUUCCAUGCAUUGGUCUUCCCAUCCCUGCCUGGGCUCUCUUCUGCAGGCAGCUGCUGGGGGUCAGCAAAUGCAUAAGGAAGGUACAGUCACCCUUCUGACUGACAGCACUCCCCAAAGGCUCACUCUCCAGCCCUGGAGCCUGCUUUGCCAGCCCUGGGAGCACUGCUGCGGUGUGGGCUAUUCCUGCCUCUCCACAUGCCUCUGUGCACAUACGUCUGGCCGUGACCGCUGCUGUGUUUGGAGCUGUGGCUUUUGUCAGAACCCAGGAAUGCAGCCUCAGGAACAGAACCCUGCACAGGCAAACUUGGCAGAACCUGGGCAGCGUCUGGAGCAGCAGUUAGGAAUCUGGGACUGGGAGCUGACCGCACUGUUAUUGAGUGGUCUUGCAUUCCCAGGAGGACAAAUCAGGGCCUUGGUUGCCAGGUUUGCAGUUUAAAAAAAGCCUUUGCUUUACUGAAUGUACAGCCUAAGUGUCAUUGUUCUCUUCUCCAUUCUGGGUUGUUUUUCAGAAAACAAGACCAGUUUAGGAAAUUUAAAUCUCUCCUAAAAAAGAAAUUUAAUCUAGAGAAGUCCCUCAGUGCUUCCAUUAUUAGUAUAAGCCAAAUUUAUUUACUUCUGUAGCUGAAAUUGCAUUACUAAAGAACAUAAAGUUUCUUUAAUGUUGUUUGAUGGUUUUUGUCUGGUUUUGAAUGGAAGUUGGGAUUAUGUGACCAUCUCGUGGCUGUAACACUUGUCAGUUCAUUUAAAUUAAUAUUUUAGUUUCUUAUUUAUUAUCACAAAGCUUAUUGGUUUGUUAUGAAUGAUACCCAAAUUUGUGAUGCUGAGAAGGUAAAGUUGCGGUGUGAGCCCACCUGGAAUCCUUGUCACAGGAGAAAUGCACAGGGAGCAACCACGGACGGGCUGGUUCACCAGCACUCCAGAGGGCUGUCUGUUUGUGUGUGUCACGAUUUUCAGGUUAUUUCUCAUAUCCUGAUGCCACUGAAAAGUCAGCCUUUUUUAGAAAAGUGUAGAAUCUAAUGAGCAGCGUGUUUGAAAACCUCAGCCAUUCCCAGGGCACAGGUGAGCGAUACAAACACGGCACAAGCAAGUGACACCUGGGGAUGGGCGUCUUGGAAAGAAAACAUCAAAGGCAUCACACAGUGAUCAGGGGUGGGCAAGUGACAGGACCAGGGAGCUGGAGACUUGUGCAAAGCUGCUCGGUUCUUCACCCGGUGCCAGGGAGCUUCAGUUCACAAAGAGAGUAGCUGGAAAAACUACCCAGAAAUAGAUGACCUUUCAAAAGGCCUCUAAUAUACAAUUACCUGAUGUUCACUGAAGUGGUUCACGUGCUUCCCACUCUAAAUGAUUUUCUAGGUUCACCCAUGUGUGAAAAGGGGUCUGAUUUAAUGGAGGAAAGAAACUUCAAAAAGGAGAGAAAUACGCCAGGGAAUUUUACUGGUUGUUUGCUCCAAGGGAAGAAAAGGGCAAAUAAAUGCAGCCACCUCAAAGUCACCUUUUGACUUUGAACUUUAAAAGAAAGGAACAUAGGAGAACUCUGAGGUAUUGACAGCAUUUGGCAGAAGCUGUUCUAUGGAGAUAGGUAGGAAACUUAGGAUCCAGUGGAAUUUGCUUUCUUAGACAGAUGAUAAGUUCUUUUUUCUUUUUCCUAGUAUAACAGAGUUAUUACAGCCCCUGUUUUCCUUACUGCCUUUUCUUUCCUUCUGCCCUGGGUCAUCUGGUACAAGAGAUGCUUUGCCUGUGUGGCCACCAGUGCUCACACCAGGAGCUGGGCAUGCAGAGUCUCAGCUCUGAUCCUGAACCAAAGCAAGCGAGUUAUCUGGGGCUGCCAUCUCUAGUGGGCUUUAGGCAAAAUACUUUUCUAAGGAAAUGAUUUCUAUGGCUGGCACAGAAGUGCCUCUCCUGUGCCCAGGUGCACACAGCAGGCUUCAAUAGUUCAGUGUUCUCUUCACGGCCCCUGCUCUGAGCCCCCAGCAACACGGGGGAAGGGGGGGCAGAGCCCACCCCCACGUGGGAAAGCAGCAGCAUUCACAAACCCAGAGACUUUUGGAAACCAGCGAAUGGGAUUUCCACAUAUGAUGAGAGAGCACGCUGGGCAACAGAAACUAUAUUUGUAUGGCAGAAAUUUAUUUUAAAUAACCUUGGAACAUAAAGAUUUUCAUGAACAAAAGCAAGUGACAGUCCCGUCCCCCAUCUGCCUUAUCUGACAAAACAAAGUCCCUGAGACAGGUCAGACAGACAAGAGCAUCAACGUGGCUGUUGUAGCACUGAAGCACUUUUCGUUUGAUCAGGUAUCCAAGUAUCCUUUUGGAGAAAAAAAUCCCAAAGUUUAACUUUGGAUCCAAAGCAUUAGACUUGUGAUUCCACAGAAUUUUGUCACUGUUCUAUUGCUUUUCAAUGUGAGCUCAUGAACCUGGAAUGAAAUUGUCCUUUGGGGACAAAACAAAACAGAUGAAAAAUAAAUGCUCAUGUAAGGUUUGGAGACCAAGGGGUUCCUGAGCCAUGGUCUUUAUUGUGUUUCUUUUCCAUCAAGUUCAGGAGAAACUUUGAGCAGGAUUUGCUGCAGUUGAGGGAGACAGAAAAAGAUCAUAUUAAAAAUAGAAGAACCCUGAACAAGGUUUUUCAAAAAGCCAUUUAUUUUCCUAUAUGAGACAUCCAGAUCCAAAAGUGAAUGGUGAGUCAGGAAUGCACACAGCUCCAGCAGCAGCUUCCAGGCUCUCUGACUGUGGCUGUGCUGGAAGGCAGGUCAACCUGAGCUCACAGCAGCAGCAGUGUGGGAUGAUGUGGAGCUCCUCAGGCUUCUGCCUCCUCCUUUUGGAGGCUGCACAAUGUGCACGUUGUGUUCCUGAAUUCAUGCCUCUUCUGGCAAUUUGUCUGCCUGACCCUUGAGUUUCUGUGUUCAUCUCCAGGGCCCAGAGCUCUGCCAGCAGCUUGCUGAGACCACGGGCAGGUGUCUCAGCUUCCCACAGGGACUGCUUCCCACAGGGACUGCGUCUCUGCCGGCUGAGGAGCUGCCACGAGGGUGCCAGGAGUGCAGCCACACACAACUGCACUCCCCGUGUUCUAAGGACAGUGUGCUGAUGAGCCAGCCACAGCAGAGAGACUGAAAGAUGUGAGAGUUUCUCCUGGAGCCUGCUUUUAGCUCUGCAUGGCCCUGUUUGGGAAUGGGCUGUACACUACAUGCCUUUAGCUUGAACUUGCACUUCAUCAGUCUGAGAGGAAGAAUGGAAGAAAUGUUCUGAGAGAAAAUUCCAUUUAUGUCUCUGCCACCUGCUAAUGGCAUAUGUGAGCUGCUGCGUGCCAGUAGCCGAUGGCAAAGAUAACAUCAGUGUGGAGAAAAUUGUGCGGCGCUGAAAAUGAGACUCGUGUUCAGAUAACCCGAUAGUUCAGCGCCUGCUGGGGCCAGGUGUGGGGCCAGGCUCUGCUCACCAACGCUCACACAGACACACUCAGUGUGACGGCCCUGUUGGAAUCCCAGAAAUCAAAUCUUUUAGGGCAGGCAAAAGGACAAAAGCUGAAAAGGUUCUAUUCACAUCCAGCCCCAAAUCAGGCUUUGCUGCAUAUACCUCCACAAUUACUAUGAGCCAGGGCAAGGGAGGCUGACAGGUGGGAACAGCUGCCAAAGUGCCCGGUAAAGCUGCUGCUCUGAAAACUGACAUAACGGCAGAGUAGACAGAGUGGGCAGCUCUUCAGAAGUAAACGUCCAUUUACAGUAGGAUCAUAAAAAUAUCUGAGGCACUCAACAGCAAAAUCCUUGUUGCUUUUCACCCUUGUGCCACCUGGAGUUUUUCCCCGGUGAGGGACUUCGUGGUGUUUUGUGUGAACCGAGAGGUAAUUGUGAGCAACUAUUUAAAUAGCCCUAAUUAUGUUUAGAGAAGACUGGCCCCUGAAAGCAGCUAGGAUCUGUGAAUAAACAUAUUGACACAAGUGACCACCUGAUCUAUGCAUAUGGAUCUAAAAAAAAGCCACUCUGCUAAGUUUAAAUUCCUCAAAGUAAAGCUGAGCAGACACCAGGCGCCAGCAGCUGUGCCUGCCCAAAGCAGCGCGGCGUGGCCACAGCACGUCCUGCCAGCCCGCGGUGUCCUCUGAGAGAACCUGGGCCUUUAAAUACCGGCCUUUAAAUUCCCUGUGCACAGAGAAAGGUGAAGGGACUGGGCCCCCCGAAUGGGGGAUGGACAAGCCCAGAGGCUUACCUUGCUUAAUCUUUGGGCAAACACGCUCAGCGUCUGCUGAGCGCAGCAGCUGAUCCCAGCUGCACCAGCACCGACCCCGCCGGUGCCAGCACCGCCCUGCACAGCUGG
This is an RNA transcript of Hirundo rustica (Barn swallow), 5381 nucleotides long. It is a transcript of the gene named TSC22 domain family member 2, with no coding region annotated. The record is from RefSeq and is a predicted model, not a curated record. The transcript has 7 exons. Lineage: Eukaryota; Metazoa; Chordata; Aves; Passeriformes; Hirundinidae.